This 884-nucleotide ribosomal RNA is filed under the name uncultured bacterium. RNAcentral describes it as "bacterial SSU rRNA". It matches the Rfam family "Bacterial small subunit ribosomal RNA", at positions 8 to 891 of the family's 1533-position model. The record is from RNAcentral.
AGAGUUUGAUCCUGGCUCAGAUUGAACGCUGGCGGCAUGCUUACACAUGCAAGUCGAACGCGAAAGCGGAGCAAUCCGCAAGUAGAGUGGCGAACGGGUGAGUAAUAUAUCGGAACAUUUCCAGUAGCGGGGGAUAACCUGUCGAAAGAUAGGCUAAUACCGCAUACGCCCCACGGGGGAAAGCGGAGGACCGCAAGGCUUCGCACUAUUGGAGUGGCCGAUGUCGGAUUAGCUAGUUGGCGGGGUAAAAGCCCACCAAGGCUACGAUCCGUAGCUGGUCUGAGAGGACGAUCAGCCACACUGGAACUGAGACACGGUCCAGACUCCUACGGGAGGCAGCAGUGGGGAAUUUUGGACAAUGGGCGCAAGCCUGAUCCAGCCAUGCCGCGUGAGUGAAGAAGGCCUUCGGGUUGUAAAGCUCUUUCGGCGGGGACGAAAAGGUUCGUGCUAAUACCACGGACUAAUGACGGUACCCGAAUAAGAAGCACCGGCUAACUACGUGCCAGCAGCCGCGGUAAUACGUAGGGUGCAGGCGUUAAUCGGAAUUACUGGGCGUAAAGCGUGCGCAGGCGGUUUGUUAAGACAGAUGUGAAAUCCCCGGGCUUAACCUGGGAACUGCGUUUGUAACUGGCAAGCUAGAGUGUGGCAGAGGGGGGUGGAAUUCCGCGUGUAGCAGUGAAAUGCGUAGAUAUGCGGAGGAACACCGAUGGCGUAGGCAAUCCCCUGGGCCUGCACUGACGCUCAUGCACGAAAGCGUGGGGAGCAAACAGGAUUAGAUACCCUGGUAGUCCACGCCCUAAACGAUGUCAACUAGGUGUUGGGGAUUUAACAUCCUUAGUAACGCAGCUAACGCGUGAAGUGUCCGCCUGGGAGUACGUCCGCAA